GUGAGUGUUUAGUCUGGCGCACGGCUUCGGGGGAGAUUGGCAGCUGGGUCAAACAAAGUCCUUCCUUUGGCUCUCUUCCCAGGCUGCUCUGCUAGUAUUUAGUGGGUCCUAGUGCUGUGUAGGGCCCUUUUCUCAGGCAAAAUCCUAACAUCUGACCGCACCCUCUCUGCAAAAAAAAAAAAAAAAAAAAAAAAAAAAAAGGAGAAAAGGGAAAAAAAAUAGCUGUUUCUGCUUCUUGCGUUAUAAGAUAAAUUCUCCUGGAGACAACCUCUCUCCCACUAAUUGUGUGUUAGCCAUGCAUUUUUAUCUUGAGAGCUGAAGCACUGGGCUCUCAAGUGGUGUGGAAAGCAGCCUGUUACAGUGAGAGAUUCACUUCAUAAAAGGGCUGCUAUGGUGUGUGAAAGAAUAUCUGUGUGCUUAGGCAGGAAACUUUUUGAUCUCCAGAAAAGCCAGAAGACAUCUAGCACACCAGUAGGGGUGAUCAUCAAAGUGAGCUGUAUGCACUAUGGAGAGAUUCUACAAAACCCACUGGGACAAACAGCAGACGAACCCACAAACCUGUUCACUGUUACCCUUAAUGGUCACCCAGAAAGCAACUAUAAAGGACAGACUGCUUCAUGCGGAAAAGAGCAGAACAGUACAGAUCGGAGACCUUGGACAAAGCCAAAACAAUAACAUAAAAGCUACCAGGAGGUCACAAUGUUCCUGUAAAGACAGGAAGGCCAGUGUGCCCUACAUAGACAUGGUCCCACUUCCCUUUCUCCUUCUGGACGUCUCAGGCCUCAAUAGCACACCCUACACUGGAAACCAAGCUGGCAUAUCUUUGAGUCUCUUCUUCCUACGACUUCUGUUUAGGCAACAGAAGGACUACUUGUAGUUUCAUUAGUAAAUAUGUGAAAUCCCUGCCCAUCUAAUAUAGUAUUUGAGGCUUUCUGCUGGUUUGUAUGUUUGUUUUCUCAUUUGGGUGUUUAUUGUACCUUACAACUGUGUAUAAUUGUAUUUCAAAGGCCUUUGAAUGUGUGUCUUAGUGCCAGAAAAUUCAAUUAGAAAAUACUGACUUCUUUAUAUAAAGUUCUGCAUACCUAGAUAUAUCCAGAAAUGUUUCUGACAGUUCAGCUUCUGUCUUCUUUAAAAAAUAUAAGCACAUAUAAAAAGAUACAUAAGUAUUUGUACCAGUAAAUUAUUGCUAAAGUUAAAUUAAGUGACAGUUUUAUUCAGGGUAACAGGUGUGAAUUUAUGUUGAAGUGAAAAUUGGGUAAAGUUACCAUAUAAAGAUACACGGAGGAGGGCCUAGGCCUCCCCCAAAUGAUGUGACAGACUUUGAUGAUCCUCCAUGGAAGGCCUCACUCUCUUUAG
Molecule: long non-coding RNA, 1356 nt
Filed under: Cricetulus griseus (Chinese hamster)
Lineage: Eukaryota; Metazoa; Chordata; Mammalia; Rodentia; Cricetidae
Description: lncRNA (ENSCGRG00015041114.1)
Source: RNAcentral